RNAcentral lists this ribosomal RNA (548 nucleotides) under Scinax agilis. Its description in RNAcentral is "partial large subunit ribosomal RNA". It matches the Rfam family "Bacterial large subunit ribosomal RNA", at positions 1861 to 2603 of the family's 2925-position model. The record is from RNAcentral. Lineage: Eukaryota; Metazoa; Chordata; Amphibia; Anura; Hylidae.
GCCCAGUGACACUUUGUUCAACGGCCGCGGUAUCCUAACCGUGCGAAGGUAGCGUAAUCACUUGUUCUUUAAAUGAGGACUAGAAUGAACGGCACUACGAGGGUUACACUGUCUCCUUUUUUCAAUCAGUUAAACUAAUCUCCCCGUGAAGAAGCGGGGAUAAGCCUAUAAGACGAGAAGACCCUAUGGAGCUUUAAAUUUUGUUACAACUGCUAUCCUACCCUUUAAGUCCAAGACUUCUCACAUAACUACUAGCAUCCUGAUAAUAAAUUUUAGGUUGGGGUGACCGCGGAGUAUAAUACAACCUCCACAUUGACACAGGCCUAACGCCUUGAACCAAGAGCCACGACUCUAAGAAAUAACAAAUUAACAUUUAUUGACCCAAUACACUUGAUCAACGAACCAAGUUACCCUAGGGAUAACAGCGCAAUCCACUUUAAGAGCCCCUAUCGACAAGUGGGUUUACGACCUCGAUGUUGGAUCAGGGUGUCCCAGUGGUGCAGCCGCUACUAAAGGUUCGUUUGUUCAACGAUUAAAACCCUACGUGA